Molecule: ribosomal RNA, 654 nt
Filed under: Sporisorium consanguineum
Lineage: Eukaryota; Fungi; Basidiomycota; Ustilaginomycetes; Ustilaginales; Ustilaginaceae
Description: eukaryotic LSU rRNA
Rfam family: 5.8S ribosomal RNA (bases 195-349)
Source: RNAcentral
UUUUUUCUGAGGUGCGGCUCGCACCUGUCUAACUAAAAUAGAGCUAUCCAUUUUAACACGGUUGCAUCGGUUGGCUGUCCAAUAGCGCUUGCGCUAAAAGACAGCCGACACACAACACAAACACUUUUGAUGAUCUAGGAUUCGAAGGAAUUUUUGAUUACGACUGGUAAUGCGGUCGUCUAAAUCUAAAAAACAACUUUUGGCAACGGAUCUCUUGGUUCUCCCAUCGAUGAAGAACGCAGCGAAUUGCGAUAAGUAAUGUGAAUUGCAGAAGUGAAUCAUCGAAUCUUUGAACGCACCUUGCGCUCCCGGCAGAUCUAAUCUGGGGAGCAUGCCUGUUUGAGGGCCGCGAAUUGUUUCGAAUCGAUCUUUUUUUUCUUUGGAAAGAGAAGAACGAAUCGGUAGUGAGGGUUUUGCCAUUUACCGUGGCUCCCUCGAAAUACAUUAGCGCAUCCAUUUGAUAGGCAAGACGGACGAAAGCUCUGAUUUUCGCUCCCUCUCUUUCCUGCCGGGUUUUGAUAAUAUCAGGACUUCGGAGGAAGAGAGGUGGGCAUGGAGCUGGACGCAACGUUUUGCUGGUUGGCGUGCUUCUAACCCCGCCCAUGGCUCUUUUCUUCGGAAAAGAGAAAGGGAUUUUUUCAAUUCAUCGGCCUC